Molecule: non-coding RNA, 113 nt
Organism: Acanthosepion pharaonis
Lineage: Eukaryota; Metazoa; Mollusca; Cephalopoda; Sepiida; Sepiidae
Source: the annotation of a GenBank genome assembly
UUACGGCCAUAUCAGGUUCAAACACCGGUUCCCGUACAAUCACCGAAGUUAAGUAACAUCGAACCUAGUCAGUAACUAGAUGAGUGACCGCUCGGGAAUACCAGAGGAUGUAU